Molecule: long non-coding RNA, 547 nt
Filed under: Olea europaea (common olive)
Lineage: Eukaryota; Viridiplantae; Streptophyta; Magnoliopsida; Lamiales; Oleaceae
Description: long non-coding RNA (OEUR_LNC014972)
Source: RNAcentral
AUGAAUGAAUCUGAUAGACAAAUACCCGUGGAAACAGAAUAUGAUCAAGUCAUAGUGAAGGGCAGCAUGAUUAGAUACUCUAAAUCUUUAUGAGGGCCAUGGGGAUAGCCCACAAGAUCAGAGAACAGUUCAUCACUCCCAUCAUCAAAUCUAAUGCACAAGAACUACUCAUUCAAAGCAAUAAGGACCAUACAAAAAAUGUUAACAAAGGAAGGAUGAAGUACAGUUAAUCAGAGAGCAAAAUUUGAAUGUGUUGUGCUUUCAGAAAGUAAGUACAUGUACAAAUUAGUGGCAAGAAUCUAUGAAUGUUAUAAAUCAUAGGAGGACAGACUUCAGCAUUUUGUGAAGGCAUAUACAUAGUGCAAUCUGAAGAAGCUUCACAGACAAAGUGUUGUAUAUAUUUAGUACAGACAUAUGGAGGAUUGUUUUGCAUGAUGUGGGCCGGCUGCUUCUGAGCUACUAGAAGAAAUUUUAUCUUUUAAGUAAUACAGUAUUGUGGGCAUAUAAAAGUUAGCCCAUAGAGAUUAAAAUUAAUUUUUUAGCGGAU